AGCAGUUUAACCCUUGCUGGAAAAAUUUAAUUAUGAUCCAUGUUUUAAAAAAAAAACAAUUGACUUAAAAAUAAGGCUGGAGUAAGGUGAGUAAAUGUAGAACCUCGUUCUUGUUCCACGUUAUGGUUCCACUGGUCAUAUAACAGGGAUGAAAGUGUUAGUAAGAAACUGUCAUAAACAUCUACCUGACCCCUCGUCCCUAAAAACCUACUCCAACUGACCCCUCGUCCCUAAAAUCCUACUCCAACUGACCCCUCGUCCCUAAAAAUCCUACUCCAACUCACCCCCCGUCCCUAAAAACCUACUCCAACUCACCCCCCGUCCCUAAAAACCUACUCCAACUCACCCCCCGUCCCUAAAAACCUACUCCAACUGACCCCUCGUCCCUAAAAUCCUACUCCAACUGACCCCACGUCCCUAAAAUCCUACUCCAACUGACCCCUCGUCCCUAAAAUCCUACUCCACCUGACCCCUCGUCCCUAAAAUCCUACUCCAACUGACCCCUCGUCCCUAAAAUCCUACUCCAACUGACCCCUCGUCCCUAAAAUCCUACUCCAAAUCAUUGAGAAAACGUUGGAACAUUUAAACCAUGAAUCCUUCCAUCUUCGUAAAGGGAGGGGUUGGACGAGUGCUUGCGUUGAACACAAUAGAGAUCUGAAAUAUGAUUACCGAUGAGGACAAUUGGCCUAACCCCCUCUGAUCAACAGAAAAUGGAUGUCCAUUGCAACGAGACCAGAGAAUUUCUUCUGUAUUCAAACAGGCUCCUCAUUUGCGUCUAACCGUUAAUGAAACAAAGCUUAUGCUGUUAUUCAAUCUAAACCGCCAUCAUUGUAAUCAGUUUAUUAACAAUAUUUAUCCCUUAAGUGUUAAUAUGCUACGCUAACAACAUUCCUCCUGCCAGCGCACGUAGUCCUCUGAAGUGAAAACACCUGUGAGGGAGGUCGGACUGGGGGCCUGUAGGUUUUGAUACCUUAACCCAGUCAGAUACUGGAUUCCAUCUGACAGCAGGUUAUAUGCAUUGAAGCUUUUCCGAUUGAGCCAACAUUUGCAGCAAUUACCAUGAAUGGUAAUCUCUAUGGAGGGCAAUCUCUGCAAACACUGCUUUCUUAAAAGGAAAAAUAUGUAAGAUUUCUACUGUACUACUACCAUAAAAAAGCAAACAUGACCAGAAUACAUCUGCAGUUUUAAAAUAAUGUUUCAAUCUUCAUCGACAACAUUUGUGACAGAAAUCCCCCAUUUAAAUGUUCUCAUCAGUCCAUGCAUUAAUUUAUAAUCUCUUAAGUGACUUCUGACCCUCGCAGUACUAGCCUUCCCAACCUAACCCACCCUGGACUAGCUAGUACUACACAGGUCAGUACUAUCCUUCCCAACCUAACCCACCCUGGACUAGCUAGUACUACACAGGUCAGUACUAUCCUUCCCAACCUAACCCACCCUGGACUAGCUAGUACUACACAGGUCAGUACUAUCCUUCCCACCCUGGACUAGCUAGUACUACACAGGUCAGUACUAUAUUUCCCACCCUGGACUAGCUAGUACAAUACAGGUCUUGUUCAGUAGGGAAAGACGAGACGAGCCUGGUUGGAGGCAUGAUUCUACACCGUGCCCCUUUAUAUUAUGGAGUUGUUCCUCACCAUGACAACAUGCAGAUGUUGUAUCCACCUCCACCAGUCCGUAGUAUGUCCAUGUUGUUUUGUUUUUUUUCUUCAGAUAAACAUACGGACAAUGGUGCUACUUCAGUUGUGUCUGAGUGAAGACAACUGUUCCACCCAACGUCUUAGAAAAGACUCCCCUCAGCCGGUCUUCACUACCGUCACAAAGCACUGUAAUUUGAAUGUAUCUGCUCUGUACAAAUAAGGGCCCUAACAUGGCACCUAAGUCCCUAUUUAGUGCACAUUAGUGCACUAUUUAGGUUAUAAAGGUGCCAUUUGGGACACGCAAGACUGCUGUAAGUACUAUUAGAAAUGGGACAAGCAGAGGUGGGCAGCGUUACAUUACUAAUGCUGUGAUAGUUUAGAAGCAGCUUUCCCGUGACCCCCCCCCCCAGUGGACCCCCACCGCCC
Long non-coding RNA from Esox lucius (northern pike), 2063 nucleotides. The record is from Ensembl. NCBI's taxonomy places the organism in Eukaryota, Metazoa, Chordata, Actinopteri, Esociformes, Esocidae.